Molecule: ribosomal RNA, 786 nt
Filed under: Bisbaumannia salifodinae
Lineage: Bacteria; Pseudomonadati; Pseudomonadota; Gammaproteobacteria; Oceanospirillales; Halomonadaceae
Also listed under: 1 other name
Description: bacterial SSU rRNA
Rfam family: Bacterial small subunit ribosomal RNA
Source: RNAcentral
CGAGCGGCGGACGGGUGAGUAAUGCAUAGGAAUCUGCCCGAUAGUGGGGGAUAACGUGGGGAAACUCACGCUAAUACCGCAUACGUCCUACGGGAGAAAGCAGGGGAUCUUCGGACCUUGCGCUAUCGGAUGAGCCUAUGUCGGAUUAGCUAGUUGGUGAGGUAACGGCUCACCAAGGCGACGAUCCGUAGCUGGUCUGAGAGGAUGAUCAGCCACACUGGGACUGAGACACGGCCCAGACUCCUACGGGAGGCAGCAGUGGGGAAUAUUGGACAAUGGGGGAAACCCUGAUCCAGCCAUGCCGCGUGUGUGAAGAAGGCCUUCGGGUUGUAAAGCACUUUCAGCGAGGAAGAAGGCCUGAGGGCUAAUACCCUUCAGGAAGGACAUCACUCGCAGAAGAAGCACCGGCUAACUCCGUGCCAGCAGCCGCGGUAAUACGGAGGGUGCGAGCGUUAAUCGGAAUUACUGGGCGUAAAGCGCGCGUAGGUGGCUUGAUAAGCCGGUUGUGAAAGCCCCGGGCUCAACCUGGGAACGGCAUCCGGAACUGUCAGGCUAGAGUGCAGGAGAGGAAGGUAGAAUUCCCGGUGUAGCGGUGAAAUGCGUAGAGAUCGGGAGGAAUACCAGUGGCGAAGGCGGCCUUCUGGACUGACACUGACACUGAGGUGCGAAAGCGUGGGUAGCAAACAGGAUUAGAUACCCUGGUAGUCCACGCCGUAAACGAUGUCGACUAGCCGUUGGGUUCCUUGAGAACUUUGUGGCGCAGUUAACGCGAUAAGUCGACCGCCU